RNAcentral lists this ribosomal RNA (403 nucleotides) under uncultured bacterium. RNAcentral's name for it is "bacterial SSU rRNA". It matches the Rfam family "Bacterial small subunit ribosomal RNA", at positions 355 to 774 of the family's 1533-position model. The record is from RNAcentral.
UAGGGAAUAUUGCAAAAUGGGCGAAAGCCCGAUGCAGCAACGCCGCGUGGGCGAUGAAGGCCUUCGGGUCGUAAAGCCCUUUUUGAGGGGAUGAGGAAGGACAGUACCCUCAGAAUAAGCCUCGGCUAACUACGUGCCAGCAGCCGCGGUAAAACGUAGGAGGCGAGCGUUAUCCGGAUUUACUGGGCGUAAAGCGCGUGCAGGCGGAUUGGAGAGUUGGAUGUGAAAGCUCCCGGCUUAACUGGGAGAGGUCGUUCAAUACUUCCAGUCUUGAGUGCGGUAGAGGGAAGUGGAAUUCCGGGUGUAGUGGUGAAAUGCGUAGAUAUCCGGAGGAACACCUGUGGCGAAAGCGGCCUCCUGGCCCAUUUCUGACGCUCAGACGCGAAAGCUAGGGUAGCAAACG